AUGCGAAGGCCAGGAAAUUGCACAGAAAAUCAUAUUGUCACAUCCCUGUCUGGAUUACAGUUUCUCAAUUUGAAUGCUUGUAUUGUGUGCAAAAGUAAUUCUUCCUGUGCUGAAGACUCAUGAAUGGACCUAAGGUUGCCACUUCCGGCCCUGAAAAGUGCCCAGUCUAC
Carcharodon carcharias (great white shark) is the source of this 170-nucleotide long non-coding RNA. RefSeq lists it as uncharacterized. The transcript has 3 exons. NCBI's taxonomy places the organism in Eukaryota, Metazoa, Chordata, Chondrichthyes, Lamniformes, Lamnidae. The record is from RefSeq and is a predicted model, not a curated record.